UGGGGAAUUUUGGACAAUGGGCGCAAGCCUGAUCCAGCAAUGCCGCGUGCAGGACGAAGGCCUUCGGGUUGUAAACUGCUUUUGUACAGAACGAAAGGGCUCUGGAUAAUACCUGGGGCAGAUGACGGUACUGUAAGAAUAAGCACCGGCUAACUACGUGCCAGCAGCCGCGGUAAUACGUAGGGUGCGAGCGUUAAUCGGAAUUACUGGGCGUAAAGCGUGCGCAGGCGGUUUUGUAAGACCGAUGUGAAAUCCCCGGGCUCAACCUGGGAACUGCAUUGGUGACUGCAAGGCUGGAGUGCGGCAGAGGGGGAUGGAAUUCCGCGUGUAGCAGUGAAAUGCGUAGAUAUGCGGAGGAACACCGAUGGCGAAGGCAAUCCCCUGGGCCUGCACUGACGCUCAUGCACGAAAGCGUGGGGAGCAAACAGG
RNAcentral lists this ribosomal RNA (429 nucleotides) under uncultured Allobrachymonas sp. RNAcentral's name for it is "bacterial SSU rRNA". It matches the Rfam family "Bacterial small subunit ribosomal RNA", at positions 355 to 776 of the family's 1533-position model. Lineage: Bacteria; Pseudomonadati; Pseudomonadota; Betaproteobacteria; Burkholderiales; Comamonadaceae. The record is from RNAcentral.